RNAcentral lists this ribosomal RNA (254 nucleotides) under uncultured bacterium. RNAcentral's name for it is "partial 16S ribosomal RNA". It matches the Rfam family "Bacterial small subunit ribosomal RNA", at positions 524 to 776 of the family's 1533-position model. The record is from RNAcentral.
CACGUAGGGUGCGAGCGUUGUCCGGAAUUAUUGGGCGUAAAGAGCUCGUAGGCGGUGUGUCGCGUCGGCCGUGAAAACCUGCAGCUUAACUGUGGGCUUGCGGUCGAUACGGGCAUCACUGGAGUUCGGCAGGGGAGACUGGAAUUCCAGGUGUAGCGGUGAAAUGCGUAGAUAUCUGGAGGAACACCGGUGGCGAAGGCGGCAUCCUGGACCGGUAUUGACGCUGAGGCGCGAAAGCCAGGGGAGCAAACGGG